UUCUACGGAAGAGACAGCAUACUUGAAAUUAAAAAAAAAUAGGGCACACACAUGAAAAUAUUACCUUUUGUAACACAAUCUCAUCCAGCUUUUCCAAACCUCAAGAACAUUCAGAAGGGGAAAUGACAACUUAAAACUAACUCCUAUUAUCACAUCGCAAAUGAAAGUCAUUAAAAGACAUCUUCAUAACAGUUACGCUUUCAGGUCAGAAGAUUUAAAAGUACAAGCGAAUGGUAGGAGUUGUACAGGCCUAUCAACACCUUUAAAUGAUCGACUGUCUUUUGCUUUCUGGCUUUACAAGGCGUGUUGCCGUGUGCAUUGUCGAGUUAUUCAUUGGUCAAGUGACUCCUUUUGUUACUCUAAUUCAACUGGUAGAUUUACCAUACAUCACUCGCCAUUAGUUAAUUUCCUUUUACUUAGGAAAAUAAAUAAAAUUUCCGCAUAGCCCCUUACUAUUGUAAAACAAAUCUAUUUUCCCAAUGGCAAUGUAUUGUUUUUGUCACUGAUUUCUCUAUCCAAUAAUGCAUAAUGGAGUGAGGGGUUGUGCGGAAAUUUUACCAAAUAGAUUUACAACACAAUCGAGUAUACAAUAGUAACGCUGUGUAACGCAACAAUAUGCUUUUCCUCGGCCAUAAUCGGUCUCAAACACUAGCACUUAAAAUGCGAGAAAUACAAGUACUGUUGGAGGACGUUUGAGAGCGUUUGGUCAAAGCUGUUAAAGAAGGAUCAAAGCGGCCAUCUAAAUCUUUGAAAGGCUCCAAACUACGACGUACAUCCAAUUUGACCUUCUCGAAAAUCGGGCUCAAAUUACAUACUAAAAGACCGUGAUUACGUUUUUCCUUGAGAACCAUAAAAUACACGACAAUACGUACAAAAAUACUUUUACACAUUAAGAAUAAUUCAAAUUACAUUUACCUAUGGUAAAAGGAAAAGGGAAUGGCCUAACUUUCACGGAAUAUUCAGUCAAAAUCUGGCAAUUUCUUGUGCUUUCACCGCCAUAUUGAAAAUUAAGCUUCCACAAUGCAACGCAAUCGGAGUGCGCACACUGCCUAGUCCAUAAUAUGAUUCCCCACACAUGACGUAUUUACGAGUGACAGUGAAAUCGGCCUGCCCUUUGAGAGCGCUAAGCGAUUUUUAUCAGCCUCUCUGUGGAUAAACAGUCAUUAUUUUUCUACGCAUGGAUUUGGGAGAGAGCAAGGAAAAAGCAAGACUGGCCAUCGUUCAUUUUAGUGAUUAAUCGAUCGGGUGAGUUUUAUUUGUGAAAACUCGGCCCCCAUAGCGGGAGUUCUAACUUCCCUGUCCACACCCUUUCACUGGGGUACACGAUUGGGUUUGAUCAAGUAUUCCAGCACUUUCCCGAAGGUGACUCGCAAUUGUGAGAAACUGCUCAAUUGAUUCAUUUAAAUCUGGCCUAGGACGGCUCAGACUCUGCAGAAGUCGGAAGCUCAGACUGAGAGAUGAAGUUCUCAAUCUACCACAGCGAAAGGUUUAUAGCCUGCCUGAAUACUACGCUGCCAUGAAAUGACGUCAAAGUACGAGGACAACCACGUGGUUGAAGAUCACAUGGGUGAUCUUUUGAUUCUCAUUGGCCACUUUCGCGACGAACUGUGUUGAAAGAACUCUAUUACGCGGGAGGCAAUACAAGCAAUACGAACAAAACCAAAACAGGAGCAGGCCAAUACGAGUCACAUCAAUGUGUUUCAAAAGAAUACUUUGAUGUCAAAGAGGGGAAACCAGUCCAAAUUAUCUGGAAUAAAUCCUCUAGUGGUGAAGAGCUUCGUGGCUAUCGCCUUGUCCUAAAAUCAGA
RNAcentral lists this long non-coding RNA (1807 nucleotides) under Pocillopora damicornis (cauliflower coral). Its description in RNAcentral is "uncharacterized LOC113669824, transcript variant X2". Lineage: Eukaryota; Metazoa; Cnidaria; Anthozoa; Scleractinia; Pocilloporidae. The record is from RNAcentral.